GUCGUCAAUCUGCCGGAAAGGUUGGUGAUAUGUACUUCGUGACUGAACCCUCCUUUUAGGUUAAGUUCUCUCGUGGAAAUCUCUCGUUGGUGUCUUUACGUCAAGAAACUUAUAUUGCUGGUACGCUGUAAAAUGAGAUUCGUCGACUGCCUGCGAAGGUGUGGAACGAAGCUUGGAAGACACCAUCCCAGGAGUAGAGUGAGUUUGGUAAAGUAUGCCAAUGCCAAUGGUCUGUUGAAAGAUAACUUUGAUUUGGUUAAAAAACUGGUAAGUGAUAAGUCUUCGUGAAGUUGGAUAGUGCUUAACAUCAGUCUUGGUCCAGCUUAAAUACUCUGCCCAAAUCUUCAGCUUGGAAUACUCCGCCCAGUAGUCCAGUCCAAAUCUUCAGCUUUAAUCUACCACUUGAAUCCUCUGCCCCAAAUCUUCAACUUCAAUCCUCCGCCCCAAAUCUUCAGCUUUAAUAUUCAGCUUUGAUCUUAAUCUAGAAUACUUUGCCUGGUGACUAAACUCUGCGCGGAAUCGGAUAAAUAAAAGGGUAAUAAAAAUGGAAAGUUUUAUGUCAAUGGAAAUUCAUUUGUUUUAUUUUGGCUUUUAAUUAAAAGGUUGUUGAAGAAAA
Long non-coding RNA from Macrobrachium nipponense, 616 nucleotides. RefSeq lists it as uncharacterized. The record is from RefSeq and is a predicted model, not a curated record. The transcript has 3 exons. NCBI's taxonomy places the organism in Eukaryota, Metazoa, Arthropoda, Malacostraca, Decapoda, Palaemonidae.